Molecule: non-coding RNA, 251 nt
Organism: Parasteatoda tepidariorum (common house spider)
Lineage: Eukaryota; Metazoa; Arthropoda; Arachnida; Araneae; Theridiidae
Source: RefSeq, a predicted model, not a curated record
UUUACUUAUUAAAAGUUAAAAAGAAAUAUAUCUUCUGUUUUUUUCUCUCUUUCAGUCGUGAAAAUGAGUUUGACAUAUUAGUUGCAUUGGAUGAUAAACAAGAGGCUUCGGGAGAGUUUUAUUGGGACGAUGGAGAUUCAUUAGAUACAUACAAAAACGGAGUUUACAACCUAAAUAAAUUCACAGCUGCCAAGAACACAUUCAAUAAUACCAUUAUCAAGCAUCAGUUCCAUAGCUUGUUAAACCUAAAC